This 305-nucleotide ribosomal RNA is filed under the name uncultured bacterium. RNAcentral's name for it is "bacterial SSU rRNA". It matches the Rfam family "Bacterial small subunit ribosomal RNA", at positions 334 to 656 of the family's 1533-position model. The record is from RNAcentral.
UGUUCCUACGGGACGCAGCAGUGGGGAAUAUUGCACAAUGGGGGAAACCCUGAUGCAGCGACGCCGCGUGAGGGAAGAAGGUUUUCGGAUUGUAAACCUCUGUCUUUGGUGACGAAAGAUGACGGUAGCCAAAGAGGAAGCUACGGCUAACUACGUGCCAGCAGCCGCGGUAAUACGUAGGUGGCAAGCGUUGCCCGGAAUUACUGGGUGUAAAGGGAGCGUAGGCGGGAAGACAAGUUGAAUGUUUAAACUAUCGGCUCAACCGAUAAUCGCGUUCAAAACUGUUUUUCUUGAGUGAUGUAUAG